UACGUAGGGAGCGAGCGUUGUCCGGAAUCAUUGGGCGUAAAGAGCAUGUAGGUGGAUCAAUUAGUCUGCUGUGAAAGUCAAAGGCUCAACCUUUGAAAGCCGGUGGAUACUGUUGAUCUAGAGUACGGAAGAGGCGAGUGGAAUUCCUGGUGUAGCGGUGGAAUGCGCAGAUAUCAGGAGGAACACCCAAUAGCGAAGGCAGCUCGCUGGGACGUUACUGACACUGAGAUGCGAAAGCGUGGGGAGCAAACAGG
RNAcentral lists this ribosomal RNA (254 nucleotides) under uncultured bacterium. RNAcentral describes it as "partial 16S ribosomal RNA". It matches the Rfam family "Bacterial small subunit ribosomal RNA", at positions 524 to 776 of the family's 1533-position model. The record is from RNAcentral.